This 233-nucleotide ribosomal RNA is filed under the name uncultured bacterium. RNAcentral's name for it is "partial 16S ribosomal RNA". It matches the Rfam family "Bacterial small subunit ribosomal RNA", at positions 103 to 334 of the family's 1533-position model. The record is from RNAcentral.
CGGGUGAGUAACACGUAGGUAAUGUACCUUUGGGUGGGGGAAUAACUUAGGGAAACUUAAGCUAAUACCGCAUAAUGCAGCGGCUCCUUAUGGAGACAGUUGUUAAAGAUUUAUCGCCUAAAGAGCAGCCUGCGGCAGAUUAGCUAGUUGGUAAGGUAAUGGCUUACCAAGGCUACGAUCUGUAUCCGACCUGAGAGGGUGGUCGGACACACUGACACUGAAUAACGGGUCAG